GAUGGACAACAGGUUGAUAUUCCUGUACUACCGAUAACCGUUUGAGAGAAGGGAUGACACAGUAGGAUAAGCUAAGCACACUGUUGGUUAUGUGUGCCCAAGCAUUGAGGCAGUCAAAGUAGGCAAAUCCGCUUUGAUAAUGCUGGGCUGUGAUGGGGAGCGAAAUUUAGUAGCGAAGUAGCUGAUUUCACACUGUCAAGAAAAGUCUCUAUCGAGGUUAAAGGUACCCGUACCGCAAACCGACACAGGUGGGUGAGGAGAGUAUCCUAAGGCCA
This 275-nucleotide ribosomal RNA is filed under the name Clostridioides difficile. RNAcentral's name for it is "partial 23S ribosomal RNA". It matches the Rfam family "Bacterial large subunit ribosomal RNA", at positions 1417 to 1687 of the family's 2925-position model. The record is from RNAcentral. Lineage: Bacteria; Bacillati; Bacillota; Clostridia; Peptostreptococcales; Peptostreptococcaceae.